CCCGCCCGCGAAUCCCUGCCCGCCCGCGAAUCACGCACCCUCCCAUUCAGUCGUGACGCCCUCGCGCUACCCCAUCGCGCCGCCGCCGCUCCGUCCCCGGCUUCCAGCCACGCCGCGCCGCUCCAUCCACCUCCGCCAGCCAGCAGCUACGCUCGCCGGUCCUCUUCUGCUCGCCAGACGCCUCCGCUCGAGCUCCACCCGCCCGCCGCCUCCGCUGAGCUCCGCCUGACAGAUCCACCCUCAACCUCCGCCCAUCAUUGUCCGCGCAUCCCAUCAUUGUCCUCUGCGCAGGGGUUUCGUCUCCGCAGCCCUGAGGUCGCCCCCAUCACGACGUCCCCCUCCAUCCACUACUGCCUCUGCGUGCCGGCAGCUCGGCCCGCCGGUCACCUCCGCCUGGCAGCCCCUCCCCUCCACGUGGAUCGACGCACCACUGCCCCUCCGCUAAGCACGGCUUGCCACACCGCCACCCCUCCCCUCUGAAUGGACUGCCACGCCUCCAUCCUUGCCAAAAGCUCCAUUGGAGACGCUUCCCCAAACAGGUACUGCUAGCUUUGCUGGGUAUCCAUCCUACACCAACGGGGCGUGCUCCCCGCGUGCGCCGUUCGCCUCCGCCGCCCGCGUGCGCCGUUCACCUCCACCGCCACGCGACUACCCGCCGCUGAGACCACCGUGGCUUGACCCUACAAAAUUAAUUACAACUUUGACUUCAGCGAUGAAGGAUAGCUUCUGAUUGCAGUUAUGCGCCCAUCCUGCCUGUUUUCUUUAAACUUCUUCUACACAAUCAAGUAGGUAGCCCCUCCUGCCUGUUCUCAUUUCAGUAAAUAAUAAGAAAAAAAGGGAUACAAAGAGUAGUAAGUUGCAGGUAAUUCAUUUUCAUAUCCUUCAGCCUUAGCUAUCAUGUUUUCUCCAAUAUUUUUCGGCCAAACUGUUAUAUUGGUAGAUAGUUUGUUUCCUUAAAUGCUACAGCUUCAAACCUGGAUGGUGUUAGCUUUAGCUUAUGAAAUAGAGUUUGCCAUUUCUAUUCAUGUAAUUUUUUUUCCUAUGUGCCCUUUUUGUUUUGGAUAUGAUUGCUCAAACUGUUAUAUGACUGAAUUUUAAGAAUUGUUAUACAGAAAUAUGAUGUUGUUUAAAAUUACUACGAGAAAUUUCUAGCGUGUUCUUGUCAAGGUUUUUAAGGCGUCGCCUAUGCGUCCAGGCGGAAAAAACUCUGGGGUGUCUCCGUCGCUUAGCCAUCUGCUCGUAUGGCGUCCGCUUUAGCGGGGAAGGCGAACGCCUUACGCGCUGGGCAUCCGGGCGAUGGGAAGCGGGCGCGGCAGACGCCUUGCAUGCUGCCUCGCGGGCGAAUCGCCGUGCGUGGAAAGAAAGGGCGCGGGCGUGGGAAGAAUCGCGCCUUCCGCCUACAGCGCCGGAAGAAAGAGCGGGAGGGGGAAAGAGAGGGAGAGGAUACCCGCCGCCACUCCCGCCAUAGCCGCCGCCGUAGCUCCAAUCGAGGAUUCCCGCUUGCGCCGCGCGCCAAAUCCAAGCGCAGGGACGCAUCGCCCUACAUCUCCAUGGUGAUUCCCGCCGUGCGCCACUGGAUUGAAGCUCCUGGAGACCUCCGGCCACCAAAUUGACUGGACGCCGGCCCCAGCUGCAUCCACCUUCCCGCAGGUCGCGCGCGUGCGACAGAGACAGACAACGGUGGCGCAGGUCUCAGGAGAGCUAGGUUUUAAUUGCCUGGGGAUAGAGAUGGGCCGCAUGGGCCGCUGAAGGCCUAGGCCGGCCCAUUUAUUACUCCUGCAUCUUUCUUUUCUUCCUUUUCUUUUCUCUUUUCUUUUUUUCUUAAUCCUACUGCUCUAUCUAUCCUGCUGUUUUGUCUAUUGGUAAGGCGUCGCCUCGCCUUACGCUUUAGUCGCUUUAAGCGCAAGGCGGUAAACAGUUGCCUCGCCUCGCCUUACCACUUUAAAAACCUUGGUUCUUGUUUUUCUUUUAGUAUGUCAUUCAUGAAUUUAACUUCCACAGGUAGUGACAUUCUGGGAGGGGGAGAUAGUAGCUACUAAAAAAGAAGACGAUGAUGAUGCCACCGCCAUGUUCUUGAUGUGGUGCCUCUUCUGAGAAAAAUUUGGUGUGAUGCACUUUGAGUUGUAAAUAUAAGAAUUAUGAUUCAGUGUUCUUGUUUUGUUGUACUCCGCCUGUGAAUAAAAGUGCAUUGUUUCAUCUUAUUGUUUAUUCGGACUCAGAAUGUAAGUGAAAUAUAGAAAUCAAAGUGCAUGUUGACUCUUGUAAAUGAAUCAACAGUUUUGGUCAUGUAA
This is a long non-coding RNA of Panicum virgatum (switchgrass), 2291 nucleotides long. RefSeq lists it as uncharacterized. NCBI's taxonomy places the organism in Eukaryota, Viridiplantae, Streptophyta, Magnoliopsida, Poales, Poaceae. The transcript is spliced from 3 exons. The record is from RefSeq and is a predicted model, not a curated record.